This 497-nucleotide ribosomal RNA is filed under the name uncultured bacterium. RNAcentral's name for it is "partial 16S ribosomal RNA". It matches the Rfam family "Bacterial small subunit ribosomal RNA", at positions 28 to 507 of the family's 1533-position model. The record is from RNAcentral.
GAUGAACGCUGGCGGCGUGCCUAAUACAUGCAAGUCGAGCGAACGGACGAGGAGCUUGCUUCUCUGAUGUUAGCGGCGGACGGGUGAGUAACACGUGGAUAACCUACCUAUAAGACUGGGAUAACUUCGGGAAACCGGAGCUAAUACCGGAUAAUAUUUUGAACCGCAUGGUUCAAAAGUGAAAGACGGUCUUGCUGUCACUUAUAGAUGGAUCCGCGCUGCAUUAGCUAGUUGGUAAGGUAACGGCUUACCAAGGCAACGAUGCAUAGCCGACCUGAGAGGGUGAUCGGCCACACUGGAACUGAGACACGGUCCAGACUCCUACGGGAGGCAGCAGUAGGGAAUCUUCCGCAAUGGGCGAAAGCCUGACGGAGCAACGCCGCGUGAGUGAUGAAGGUCUUCGGAUCGUAAAACUCUGUUAUGAGGGAAGAACAUAUGUGUAAGUAACUGUGCACAUCUUGACGGUACCUAAUCAGAAAGCCACGGCUAACUACGUG